AAGAUAUUAGUUGAAAUAAAAAUACUAAUUUGUCAAGUUAGAGAUACAAAGAUUAUGUAUAUCUUA
Molecule: transfer RNA, 66 nt
Filed under: Parhyale hawaiensis
Lineage: Eukaryota; Metazoa; Arthropoda; Malacostraca; Amphipoda; Hyalidae
Description: tRNA-Asp
Source: RNAcentral